This 497-nucleotide ribosomal RNA is filed under the name uncultured bacterium. RNAcentral describes it as "partial 16S ribosomal RNA". It matches the Rfam family "Bacterial small subunit ribosomal RNA", at positions 28 to 507 of the family's 1533-position model. The record is from RNAcentral.
GAUGAACGCUGGCGGCGUGCCUAAUACAUGCAAGUCGAGCGAACAGACGAGGAGCUUGCUCCUCUGACGUUAGCGGCGGACGGGUGAGUAACACGUGGAUAACCUACCUAUAAGACUGGGAUAACUUCGGGAAACCGGAGCUACUACCGGAUAAUAUAUUGAACCGCAUGGUUCAAUAGUGAAAGACGGUUUUGCUGUCACUUAUAGAUGGAUCCGCGCCGCAUUAGCUAGUUGGUAAGGUAACGGCUUACCAAGGCGACGAUGCGUAGCCGACCUGAGAGGGUGAUCGGCCACCCUGGAACUGAGACGCGGUCCAGACUCCUACGGGAGGCAGCAGUAGGGAAUCUUCCGCAAUGGGCGAAAGCCUGACGGAGCAACGCCGCGUGAGGGAUGAAGGUCUUCGGAUCGUAAAACUCUGUUAUUAGGGAAGAACAAAUGUGUAAGUAACUAUGCACGUCUUGACGGUACCUGAUCAGAAAGCCACGGCUAACUACGUG